RNAcentral lists this microRNA (23 nucleotides) under Alligator mississippiensis (American alligator). RNAcentral's name for it is "ami-miR-9599-5p". Lineage: Eukaryota; Metazoa; Chordata; Crocodylia; Alligatoridae. The record is from miRBase by way of RNAcentral.
GCUUUGCACCUUACAGACUAACC